Molecule: ribosomal RNA, 375 nt
Filed under: uncultured bacterium
Lineage: Bacteria
Description: bacterial SSU rRNA
Rfam family: Bacterial small subunit ribosomal RNA
Source: RNAcentral
UACGAAGGGGGCGAGCGUUGUUCGGAUUUACUGGGCGUAAAGGGCGCGCAGGCGGCCGCAUUUGUCAGGCGUGAAAGCCCCGGGCUUAACCUGGGAACUGCGUUUGAUACGGUGUGGCUAGAGUUCGGGAGAGGAGAGUGGAAUUCCCAGUGUAGAGGUGAAAUUCGUAGAUAUUGGGAAGAACACCGGUGGCGAAGGCGGCUCUCUGGACCGAUACUGACGCUGAGGCGCGAAAGCGUGGGGAGCAAACAGGAUUAGAUACCCUGGUAGUCCACGCUGUAAACGAUGUGUGCUAGACGUUGGGGAGCCUAGCUCUUCGGUGUCGCAGCUAACGCGGUAAGUCUGCCGCCUGGGGAGUACGGCCGCAAGGCUAAA